UUUUACUCCAGGAAGCUAUAUGCCUAAUUCUAUCCAUUGUUUACUGCAUUGCAUUUGAUUUUCUAUAACAAAUAAAAUUGAAUUCUCCAUUGAUUGCGCCGACGCUCACAUUAUAAUUAUAUGCUAUUAUUAUUGACUAGUCAUAUAUUUUCUUGGCGGGUGGGGGCUGCACUGGUGGCGUUCUACGAAUUUGCGCCGCGUGUUUGUGCGGGUAAGCUUAAGUGCAGAAUUUUUUUUGCGCGUUAUGAAAACAAUGCACUGCAGGUAUUUUAAUUAAUGCAACGAGCUGUAUGAAAUAUCGGUCAAGGGGUUGGAAACGUCGUUAUAGAGAAUCCCGACGAUUUUUCUUUUGCGUGUGUGUAUUUGGAGUUGAUUCACAGUUUUAUUUGUUUAUUUUGGCUACAUUGCGCCAAUUGCGCUUCCAUAGAAUAAAGAAACGUGCUUGCCGACUCGAUCGCAAGGGGACAGCCUGAUCAACAUCAAUAUCAGCAGCAAUGGCGGAUUUGCGCUUGCCAUGGCGCUUGCAAAGUUUUCAAUAGUUUUCGACUAUUAAGUGAUGCUUUUGCUAUUUUAACGUGUGGAGGUUCAUUGUACGUCUGUUUUUUCAAGUUUGGCAUGUGUUUUAACACAUGUGAAGGUGUAGUCUUUUCUUCUUCAGCGGAUAUUUGUACAAGACCCCGUUCACCGUCUAUCAGUGAAGGUGACUUAAACCGACAACAGCCGAGAAGGUGCAAACAGCACUGCGCUGCCUGGUUCUUGCUGUUGGCCUUUUCUUCUUUUCACAGUGUCCUUACUGUAAGUGCACUCCAGAGUUACAAUGCAGGAAUAUGCAUGUGUGCAUAAGCUUUCAUUCAAGAGUAACUCAUGAUCAUAAGUUACGUCAUCAUGGUUUCGUACCAUGUCACGGCAUCAUAAGUGAGACAUAAUAAAGAAGCCCUCAAAGUCUGCGGGAGAGACUAAUCUUGUGCGAGAUUGUGCUAUCCUUGCUGCACGCAGUGCAAUAUUAUAUGACUCUCAUGUCUAUGGUGGCAUUGUCGAUUAUGAAUGUUUCCUUACUGCGUUAAAAAAUGUGAGUGCAUCUUUCAGAUAAUAAUGGCAUUAUAGCUUCAGAGUUGUUCAAGUUUGGGGUACUUGUUCACUAAAAGUACAUUAUCAGAAAAGCUUUAGAAUGUCUAGGUCAUAAUUGCAUUUGAAGAACUAAGUCUUCCUACACAUAGCAAUUGGUAGCUUGCACAAUCUCAUCCCAGGUUUUUAAUCCAGUUUGACAUUGAAGCAUCCUGGUAGUAUUAAAGUACUUUAGAAAGAGGUUCCAGAAGCAUUGCCAAGUUUGCCACUUAGUGAAAUUUGUAGUUUGGAAACAAUUUAGGCUCUUAGCAAGAUUAGUAGUGAACAGAGGUUUUCACAUGGUGAUUGGUGUUGUCCAAAUGCAUGAAGAGGUCACAGUACGAGUACUUAAGCUGAUAGUGUCGGGUAACCAUAAGCACCAGCAGGGGCCCCGUAACAGUGUCCCCUUUAACUUCAGAUAUGUUGAAGGUGGUUUUUAUUCAUAGGCCCUACGCAGAGAGCAGCAACACAAUGCCUGGCAUGUGACCAGGGUUCGUCACAGUGUUUGCAUUUCCAGUGCUCGUAACUGAUUCCAAGCAUAAAUUUGCUUUAUGAAUUCUUUGUAGACAGAAGGUGCUUGAAUAUUGGUUGCAUGAAAUGCUCCAAUGCACACUGUAUAUGUACAGGGUGUCUUUUAUUACCAUACAGAUUUUCUUGUUUUAAAGUUAUGAGCGCAGCAAAUGUGGCAUUCUUGCAGAGGAAUUCCUCUAUUUUGGAACUCCACAAAUUUGGAGGCAGUCACAUUUUAGAGCACUCUCAUUUCUUACAAAUCUUGAAAGUUGCACCUAAUUCAAUAUAUUCAUCAUUGAAUUUGACUGGUAAAUCGAGGCAAUAUUGGAACCGAGUGUGCUGGGAGCGCAGAAAAGAAGGUCCCGCUACCUCAUCAGAUGGAAACACCCCCGACAACAGGCUCGAGAAAGUCUGAAACAUCUUGGCCAGUCAUUGUAGCAGCUGAUACGACACACUUUGCCUGGCAAGCAUGUGCAUCAGUGUGCCGUGUCAGGCUAUCAUUUAAGCUUUGUCCCACACUUCUUGACAGGGCACUGCCGCCUGAUGUGGAGCAGGAUGCACCAAGUUUUGAUUGUACUCAAUUGAGCGCGAUAAUGAAUAUUUCAAAAUAAGUGCAAUUUUCGAGAUUUCGAAAAAGAAAGGGUGUGCGUUCACAUGUGACUGCCUCCAAAUAUGCCAUUUAGAAGGCUGCCGCCAAGUUACUAAUAAAAAAGUGACUGAAUUUUUCAAAAUUAAUUUUCUGAAACUCGCAUUAGCAGCAAAGUGUGUCCUCCUCACCUAGAAACUCCUUUGCAAGAACGACAGGCUCUCUGUGCUCAAAACUUUUUGCUAAAUAUCUGCAUGGUUAAAAAAAACAACUAGAUAUGCAUAAUUGUUAAUGUAUGAAAAUCGUGCACUAUCACUUUUCAAAAUUUUUGUCCUAUGCAACACCAGAAAAAUUGGAAAUAGAAGCUUCAGGUGACCUAUCUGAUGUGCAAGUUGCAUGGCCAUAUUAUUGUUUUAAUUUUUCGCUAUUACCUUUUACUGUGAUGUCGCCACUGCAGCAGCUCGAUGGCUGUGGCUUUUCAUUCCAGGUCACAAAGCUGCACCCAGGUAGAGGCAGAAUCCAAAAAUGCUUGUGUACUUAAGUAUAGCUGCACAUUACAGAAUCCGAGGCCCUCAAGAUUUAUCCGUAGCCCUCGUGUAGCCCACGAGUUCCAUAUUUUUUAUUGGGAUUGAAGAGUAACGUUUGUGCUGUAUCCUUCUAUUUCAGACUAAAUAAUGUGCAUGCAAAAUUAUAUCUUCAAUACUUUACACCAUUGCACCAAUAUCUCUUGUGCGUUGAUUUUCUGAUGUCCUUGCAUUUGCUAUAGCAAGGAUUUUUAAAAAUCAGCCACAAAAGAAAAAAUAAAUGGUCAAGGAACAAAGUGGUGUGUAGCAGCUCCCUUUUUUUUAAUAGGCAGCAAGUUUUGCACUCGUGUGUUAGCAAUCGGCAGCAAGUUUUGCACUCGUGUGUUAGCAACACUGUUUCGCCAGUUGCGUACUUCAAAAGAAGUGUUACCUUUCUGCUUUGGAACUUUGUGGUUUUGUUCUGCCAGCUGCUUGACCAACACAAGCAAAAUGUACUUUGGAUAUUCCACAAAUUCAUUCUGUAUGCAUUUGGUACAAUAAAAUUUGUUUCAAGAAUGGACAAAUGCAGUGAUGGUUAAUUGAAAACUGCAACAUGCUGAGUUUCAUGCUUCAUUAAUUUUCUCAGCCCCAAAGAAAGCAUGCGAGGUUUGAAAAUGUAUCAUGUGACAUUAGUGCACUCGGUCUAGAGAACUGAUUAAUGCUGCACAUACAUUGAACAUGGUGGCCAUGACCAUCCCUCAUGAAUUGGCAUUCCCUGCCUAAACCACCUCACCAAGACAGCUUGUUAACAGCAAGAAAGCUGACGGGGCUUCCAAGAAUUUCUAUGCACUAUUUAUUACUAUCGCCCUACUGAAAUUGCUCCAUUGCUUUGCUGACAAUUGUCUUGACAAAAGUGGAAGCCGAAUCGGUUGAGGUCGAUCAGUUUUAUUUACAUACAACCUAUUAUAAAGUGGACCUUUCUUCGCCUCUUCAACUGUUCCCACAGCUGCUGCUGCCAUCUUGCACGCCACAUCGAGGAGGAGGGCAAUGUACAUGGCAGGUGCAUGGGAGGAUUUUCCAAGGAACUCUGGAAAGCUGUAAUCAGAUUGUGGGCAAAGUUAAAAACUUAAAUACAAAAAGGAUGUAGAGUAUUGUAACCUUGUACAUGUUGAUCACACCACAUGUUUCAGCUACAGCUAUAAGUGCCUUGUCUCAUCAAGCAAGCUACAGUUCUUGCAAUGUUACACUUUGUGAUACUCAGUAUGAAUUGAUAAGACUAGCUGCUAUUCUAGUGGUUGUGCAGGCCACAAGGGAACAGUGCCUGGCCUUUGUGCUUGUAUGUGUCAAUUUCUCUCUUUCAGUCUCGCCCAAGCCACACCAAAAUGUUAUCCACAAGUGUCGUGCCAAAAUGGCCUGGCGACAUUUCGUAUUAAGCCGUUUGACCCAUUUAUUGCACUGAUGCACACAGUGCAACCAAAUGAAGGAAAUGACAUCGCCUAGGUGAUUAUUAAAUUACCCUUCUAAAAUACCACAAGAGGAAUUUUGCUGUGGCAAGAGCCUUAGCAAAACCAUAAGAGACACAAAAAUGAAGGAAAAGCGACACCUUCAAGUUCCCGCACCGACUCACCAUGAGAAGCACGAAUUUUGGCAGUGUCUGCUUGAGCUUAGUUAUUUGGAGAUACAUGCAGUUGAAUGCUUUUACAAGCAUUGAGAUGCCCCACUAUGCUAGCUUGCCUUUUAUGGAUAUAGAAAGUUGUAUACUGCCACAAGUCUGCCUAUUCUUCCGAUUGGAAUCUAUAUUGAAGCUGCUUUGAGCAACGGGCGGUAUUCUAUUUCAGCGCUAAUGAUACAUUGACAGUAGUGUGCCUGGAAGGAAUAGACAAAAGCAUUGCAGAAGCUGCAGCACUUUGUGCUUGCUGAAUGAUCAUACGAGAAGGUAAAGAUGCCAUCAGAAAGCAUCCUUCGUAUAGAGUCUCUUUAAAAGAAAAAUACGACAUCUAGACAUGGUGACAGUUGUAGUGGCAAACUAAAAAUAUUACAGUGAAACCUCGUUAAACCGUAGUCGGCCGGAGCUCAGAAAAAGUACGUACUAAACAGUAGUACUGUUUAAGCGAAAUAGCAUGAGAUCGCCCACUUACCUGUAGAAAACGGAACUCAGAGAGAGUGCGAUGAAAGGGGAAAAAACAUGCACUAUUUAUUCACUUAGCGCGACAUAAGUGUUAUUUUCGUUUGAUGCCGCGGCGGCCUAGCACGACGACAGCAGCCUAAAACUUACUCAAGCUGCGUGCCAGCUUCUCAGCCAGCCCCCCUCCUCUCGGCAAACACUCGCACGGCAGAUUCCUCGUUGGCGUUACGUAUUCUCCGUGCACGCGCGCACUAGUGCUGCAUAAGUUCCGGGGCGCCUUUUCCAUUGCCAGGUGCCGGAGUUCGGAACACUUUUCGUUUGGAAUAGUUACGUUAUCGCGCCCCUGUUCUCGUUGCGACGAUUGCAUUCACGAGGCUGACGUAACACGCAGCUUCUGCCACUGUCCGGCCUGAAUCGCCCGUGCUGUCGCUUUCCGUGUCGUCCUCAUCACUGUCGCUAGUCGACAACAACAGAGGCAACGAUGGCGAAAAGUCGAACCUCGUAGCCGACAUCUCUUCGCGGUCGCAGCAGCGCUACCGAGCAACUUCGCAUUCCAAAUGCCACACACUGUAGUCAACAGCAGAUCCAUGUCGCGGGCCCGCGCCGACUUCUUAGUGUCACAUUCGAUAGCACGGACGAUGUCUAAUUUUUCUUCUAUGCUGAGCACCCGGCGUCCUUUUUUUUUUAUCCGAGCUUCGGCAUGACGGCAGUCCUCGCUUGCACGACGCCAUAACGCUCUCUCGCUUUCUGGCACGGCGUCGAAAUGAUGUUGAUGCGGCUUCACGUGCAAACGCACAGGGCGCUUGGAGGCCAUUGUACCGAUCUCUGAGGCUUGUUGUUCUGCCGGACCGCCCGGUGGAGACGACGCACCGCCGUGUUUGCGCGACGAAAAGUGGAAACGCUACGUUUUAACCGAUGCGUACGCAAUAAGCUGGUACGGUUUAUGCGGAUACAAAAUACAUUAUGUUCAAUGGCCGCUGAGUCGGGGAAUUGACUUUACUACUUUUAAACCGAAACUACUGUUUAAGCGGGUACGGUUUAACGAGGUUUUACUGUAUAAUGAUAGUUCAAGGUGUGGUAUGGCAUGUUUAUGCUAUUUCUGAAAAAAUAAACACGGCAAGUGUGUCCAUGCCAACAAUUGAGACAGGAUGUGCAGAUGCAAAGCUGCAAUACAGCACCAUGGCGUCAAAAGGACAGUAUGCAAGUGGUGGUCCAGCAUCAAAACUUCAAUGUCCCUACACUACAACACUGGGAGGCCAUGCUGCAUGACAGAAGCCUGUGUGGCCAGCAGGCGCUGCUCUGUCGGGCACAGGACGUGGCAGCAACUAUUUCUCCUAAGGAUUCAAUAAACGGAUUUCUCUACCUCACCCGCCAUGCGAGGGAAUGACAGUGCCACUACUCUCACAGGAUAUGGAUGGUGCACAGCACCACCUUGAGCAUCGGAGCGCACGUCUGCCUAUGAGCUCUGUGUACUACGAACACAAGUGGUGCAUGCGAGGUAACAUUUAACAUAUCACUGCCAAAUGCCAUCAAUGAACACAAGCAGCAAAGAAAGCUGCUUACAUAAUUUUCA
Dermacentor andersoni is the source of this 6401-nucleotide non-coding RNA. NCBI's taxonomy places the organism in Eukaryota, Metazoa, Arthropoda, Arachnida, Ixodida, Ixodidae. The record is from RefSeq and is a predicted model, not a curated record.